RNAcentral lists this unclassified non-coding RNA (1405 nucleotides) under Leishmania donovani. RNAcentral describes it as "gene:unknown". The record is from RNAcentral. Lineage: Eukaryota; Euglenozoa; Kinetoplastea; Trypanosomatida; Trypanosomatidae.
AGCACGGUCGCCUUCCCCGUGGUGAUUACCACCCCACGCGGAACCGACGUGGUCGAGCUUUCUCCAGAUUUGUCGGCGUUGUGAUCCUAGCCGCUGCGUAUCACAAACUACACCGCUGCCGGCUUCCUCGCCGGAGGUAUCAGUGGCUCGUGGUGUGCGCGUGCACACACCAUUGCAGACGACACGGACGCGCAACGCCAAAAUGAAAUAUAUAUAUAUAUAUAUAUAUGUAUAGUUUUUUUUUUCAGCAGCGUUCAGGGUGACGCGAGCGGUUUCGGCCACGCGCCCUUGAAACCCCCUGCACGUGCACGAUGGGGGGACGAUGAUUUCAUAGUCACCACUUCAGCGCGAUCACUGUCAUUUCUCAGCGUUUUAGCGUGCUCCCUAGUCCACGGCACAAGACUGGGAGCCUGUCUCCACCCAAGCUAUGAACGCAAGCGCGACGACGACGCCGCGCAGAGCGGGGCAGUGGAAGUGCGCUGCCGUCGAAUGAGGACCUCGCCACGCUGGAGGGCACGUCCAGCAUCGCCGCUGAGUAAGGAAUAUUUCGAUAAACGUGAGCGGCCACACUGAGCAGCUUACACCCAAGAUAUCCCUCCGCAAAACCCUGGCAGCGGCAAGCGGCGCCGGCGGCUUUCCAUUCUCUCCUCGCCGCUUUCUCAAGAGGCUUGCGCAGCGCGAUCGCCCCCCUCCCCCUCCCUCCAAGUUACGAUGCGCGUUGUGACACUGUGUUGCGCCUCUUGUCCGCAUCCGUGUAUGCCCGUUUCCAGGCAGCGACUGUGGCGAAGGUGUCUUCGUCGUACACCAUCCUCGCUGCCUCCUUCCUUUUUUUUCUUCUCCCGCAUCCGUACUGUGACGUGAUAAUACGCACGCCCAGGGGCACGCCUGUGCUGAGGUGGUACUGGAAAUGGAUACGCUCAUGACCGCAGAUUGCGGCGACGCUGCGGUACGUCUCUCUCUCACGUUUCUUUUCUUCGAUCUCCCCCUUUACGUGCGUCUUCUAUUUCGGUGAUUGUGACCCUGUAUGCACUCGCUGACGUUUUGUUGCUGUUUAGUGGUGGUGUGUCCUCCGUUGGCGUGUGCCCGCGACCGUGUGUGGCACUCUCCCUCUCCGCAUCUGCCUCCUGCACUGUUCCCACGCCAUGCUACGUUUCUGCGUCACACAGGCUCGCCUCGCGUCGCGUUGUGGGCCUCCGUUGUUUCUUUUUCUUCGUUAGAGGCGUAUGUGUGCCUGUGUCUGUGUCUGUGUAUGCGUGUCUGUGUGCGUCUUCACUGACCCACGCCAUCUCCGACCCCAUAACUGCUCCAUACUCUUCCUCGCUUCUGUUGCCCAUGUAUCCUUCCCGUCCCCUUUCUUGCUGUGCUGUGCGACCUGUUAGCAGCUUCUCUGUUCGCACACGCGUGU